GACGAACGCUGGCGGCGUGCUUAACACAUGCAAGUCGAACGGAAAGGCCCUGCUUUUGUGGGGUGCUCGAGUGGCGAACGGGUGAGUAACACGUGAGUAACCUGCCCUUGACUUUGGGAUAACUUCAGGAAACUGGGGCUAAUACCGGAUAGGAGCUCCUGCUGCAUGGUGGGGGUUGGAAAGUUUCGGCGGUUGGGGAUGGACUCGCGGCUUAUCAGCUUGUUGGUGGGGUAGUGGCUUACCAAGGCUUUGACGGGUAGCCGGCCUGAGAGGGUGACCGGCAGCACGGGAGCUGCGAGCCGGCCCAGAGCGGUGAGAGGGGAGGAGGUGGGGAAUAGGGCAGAUGGGGCGGGACAAUACGGAGAGGAGGGCGCGGCCGGGAGGACGGGGGGAGGGUGGAACACCGGUGUCGCGGGGGACGAGGGGGGUGUGAUGGUAAUGGGCAAAGAGGCAACGGCUAGGUACAGGCCGGUGGCCGCGAUAACAGACGGAAGAGCACCAGUCUGAAC
RNAcentral lists this ribosomal RNA (509 nucleotides) under uncultured bacterium. RNAcentral describes it as "partial 16S ribosomal RNA". The stretch from base 20 to 332 matches the Rfam family "Bacterial small subunit ribosomal RNA", at positions 47 to 358 of the family's 1533-position model. The record is from RNAcentral.